AGAAGAUGAUGGCUUUUUCUCAUGAUGGUCUGUAGAUGUCACUAUGGGGAGUGCCAAUAUGCCAAUGGUUUAGCUGAUGCCAGGAG
Molecule: small nucleolar RNA, 86 nt
Organism: Myotis lucifugus (little brown bat)
Lineage: Eukaryota; Metazoa; Chordata; Mammalia; Chiroptera; Vespertilionidae
Product: small nucleolar RNA SNORD35
Source: Ensembl